UGGGGAAUAUUGCACAAUGGGCGCAAGCCUGAUGCAGCCAUGCCGCGUGUAUGAAGAAGGCCUUCGGGUUGUAAAGUACUUUCAGCGAGGAGGAAGGCGUUGUGGUUAAUAACCGCAACGAUUGACGUUACUCGCAGAAGAAGCACCGGCUAACUCCGCGCCAGCAGCCGCGGUAAUACGGAGGGGGCAAGCGUUAAUCGGAAUUACUGGGCGUAAAGCGCACGCAGGCGGUCUGUCAAGUCGGAUGUGAAAUCCCCGGGCUCAACCUGGGAACUGCAUCCGAAACUGGCAGGCUAGAGUCUUGUAGAGGGGGGUAGAAUUCCAGGUGUAGCGGUGAAAUGCGUAGAGAUCUGGAGGAAUACCGGUGGCGAAGGCGGCCCCCUGGACAAAGACUGACGCUCAGGUGCGAAAGCGUGGGGAGCAAACA
This 427-nucleotide ribosomal RNA is filed under the name uncultured bacterium. RNAcentral's name for it is "partial 16S ribosomal RNA". It matches the Rfam family "Bacterial small subunit ribosomal RNA", at positions 355 to 774 of the family's 1533-position model. The record is from RNAcentral.